UACCAAUACCAUUUUGAGAAAGCCCAAUCUCAUCUCAUUUCAAAAUUUUAGCAGGUUUGGGUCUGGUUAGUACUUUGAUGGGAGACCACCAGGAAUACCAGGGCAAAGUGGGAC
RNAcentral lists this ribosomal RNA (114 nucleotides) under Periophthalmus magnuspinnatus. Lineage: Eukaryota; Metazoa; Chordata; Actinopteri; Gobiiformes; Gobiidae. The record is from RNAcentral.